GGAUAGAGCGAAAGGAAACAUGGUAUCCAUUCAUUCCUGGGCCCACUUUUGGACCAGAUUCUGAAGGAAGAACUCUAUUCUCAUCUCACUUGUUCUUCCUGCUCACCCCAGCUCUCCUUGUAUCAAGAUUUGUAUCUCCAAUUUCACUCUGAAGUUGAGAGAAAUCCUGUGAUAUGUCGGAAAUUAAGUGGAGCGAUUAGCGUGCGUCUUCAUCAACCGACCUUGCAUCUCAGAGUUUACUAGUAGUUCAUCGAGCAGCCUUCACGGCGGAGGAUUAUCUGGUAUGGCUGGACUUUUCAUGGGCGAGGAGAGCCAGGAGCGGAUGAAUCUACGGGUGACACGGGUCUUGGUGACUGUGAGCCACCUCGCGCAUCUUACCCUGGCCCAAUUAUCCGGGAUCCGUCGGCGUAGAGACUCCGGUGUGCGGAUGUCUCUGGUGUGGGUGGCGUACCACGUGACCGAGAUAAUCACGCCAAUCGCCCUCGGCAAGGUGUUUCUCGACACCGCGACCGCGGUUAGCGAGGAGCUGAUGUUUCUCCUGCUGCACCUUGGUCGCCCGGACAACAUCACCAGCUACGCCUUGGAGCACAAUGAGCUGUCGCCGACCCAAAAGGCUGCUCUCGUCCUUGAAAUCGGAGGAGCUAUCUAUGGCUCAUACAAGCAAAGAUUUAUGCGCGGCGAUGCGGCUCUACGCGCCACCUUCUUCAUCAUGCUCUUCUUGGGCUCCUAUAAGUACGUGGAGAGGGCGGUUGCGCUACGGCGAGCUUGCUUUGACAACAUUCGUCGCUCAGCCGGGAGAAAGAAGUUACGGCGCUUCACAUUUGAGGACGAAGGCCGCAAGUGGGAUAAUGAUGAUGCCCUGCUUGAUGCUCACGGCCUUCUCGGUGUCACCAUGGGUGCCUUCGCUGACUAUCAAGUCCACCGCAGGAGGUAUGUCCCAUCCUAUUCUGGCUGGAAGGGUGUGAGCGAGGUGGUUGAGAUGGAGGCGUCGCUCAUGUACGACAUGUUGUACACCAAGGCAAGUGUGAUCCGCACUUGGGCCGGCUACAUCAUCCGUGUCCUCUCACCGCCGGCAACUGCCACGACGCUCUAUCUCUUCCACAGUAAGGAGGGCAAUGCCAUGGAGAGUGCAGAUCGGACGGUCACAUACACCUUGCUUGUUGGUACCCUGGUGUUGGAUGUGAGAUGGCUGCUGAGAGCACUAGGGUCCACCUGGACAUAUGCGUUCUUGGUAGAGCAAGGGGAAGGAAAAGAAUGGCUGCUUCCGGUUCGACGGACCUUCCCGGACAAUUUGCCACGUCAAGCUGCAAUGCAAUCAUGGUAUUGCGUCCGUCGCCUCCUCGUCUCUCUGGAUAUGUCCCGUCUCUCACUGAGAAGCGGCCCGAGUGGCCAUAGGUUGUUGUCCGGCGCGGGGCAACACAACUUGUUGCAAGAGUGUUGUACCUGUACUCCUCCUCGCCCUCCGGGCCAACUGGAGAAGCUGGUCUAUUCUUUCUUCACUGGACUUGGGAAGAAGACUGAUGAUGUCAAGGAUGAGUUGUUGGAAGCUGUGUGUACACAAGUACUGCUGGAAUCUUGCACACUCGUCGGGAUGCGUCCCAUAAGGGAACUCGAUGAUUUUAUGAGGUCUAAUGCCAGUAACUAUAGUUUUGAAAGCAACCUCAUCGCCCUGCACGUCGCCACGGGUAUUUUCCUCUUGUGCAAGCCGACUUCGAUAAAAAGUGAAGCAUCAGCCAAAUACGAGAAGCAGAUACGAGCAAUAUCAGAUUACAUGAUGUUCCUCCUCGCUGAACGCCAGCACAUGGUAUUGAGACAGGGUGACGAGGGUGUCCACUACAAAAAGGCCCGCCUCGAUUUGGAGGAGAUAUGGAGUGAACGAGGAACCGACAAUUCUCCAACAAUAAGAGAGACCAAGCAGCUUGCCAACAUCCUUCUAGACAUGGAUGCCACUGAGGGCAGCUGCGUGCUUGGAAGAUCAAGUCAUCUUUAUGACAGAAACGAUACUCUCGGGCUUGGUGCUUACUGGGCCUUCAACCUGUUAGAUGAGCUAGAACCGGGAAAUUAUGGACGACAUCCGAUGCAGGGCCAAUACAUUCACAAACUUGAAGCUUUCAUCCCGGCAUUCACCGAUGAGGUACAAACAAAAGUUAGAGAGCAUAGGGACCGUGGGGAACAACCAGAACUCCUCGAUUGUAUGUUGCAGACCAUUCUUGUUUCAUGGGUACGUCUUCUCACCUUCACGUCCGACCAAUGCAGCAGGGAUUCCCAUGCCAAGCAGCUCAGCUGCGGCGGUGAGCUCUUAACCAUCGUCUGGCUGAUGAAUCGACAAAAGUGAGUAAAUAGCAUAAAACUACUACUUUACAGGCUGUGGUUCCAAAAAACUACCGAAUUUAUUUUUUUCGCUGAUAACUAUCAAGUCAGGGGUUGGCUGUUUCAAAAAACCCCAAAUCCUCUUUGUUAAAAAAUUAAACAUGUUUAUGACAGGUCGGGCCCGCCACUAAACGCACCGUUUGGUUGACCGUUUGUUUGACCGUUAACUUACAUGUGGGGGCCACAUGCCAGUGUCUGAAAAAGCAAUCGGGUCCCUGGAAAUUUUCUAAAAAUGCAAUCAGGUCCCUGGAAGUUUUCAAAAAAAGCAAUCAGGUCCUCCGGCGCACCCGCCAUGGCCGCGAUGCCACCUCCUCCGGACCGACGCCGUGCAUCGCCUGCAGCCGGCGAGCCACGCCCCUAGUGACCGGAUCCACGCCGCCCCUUGCCUGUGGCCGCCGCCACGCCGCCCCUCGCCUGUGGUCGCCGCCCCGCGCGUGUGGUCGCCGCCACGCUCUGCCUCGCCUGCGACAACCCCCAGGUGCUCCCCAUGGCGGGCGGCAGCACGGGACCUGAGCGGAGACCCAUGGCUGGCGGCGCCCCAGGCAGCUCCCCAUGGCGCGCGGCGGUGUGGCGACCUGAGGGGAGGGAGCGGCUCGCACGAGGUGGGCGCACGAGGGGAGUGAGCGGGUCGCCGGCGGGGUGGGCGUGACAGGGGAGGGGAAAGGGUCGCCGGCGGAGUGGGCACGCCGCCCCUCGCCUGUGGCCGCCGCCACGCCGCCCCUCGCGUGUGGUCGCCGACAGAGAGAGAGAGUACAGGAGGAAGAGGAGAGAAGGAAAGAGAAGAAGAAAAGAGAAGCUGACAUGUGGGCCCCACAUGUCAGUUAACGGUCAAACUAACGGUCAAACUAGAGCUUCGUUUAGGUGCGGGUCCCACCUUUCAUAAUCACGAUCAACUGAUAAGCACUCAGCGUUUUGGGUUUUUUGAAACAGCCGACCCCUCGUUUGGUAGUUAUCUGAGAAAAAUUAAAAACCGGUAGUUUUUUGGAACCAUAGCCUGUAAAGUAGUAGUUUUAUCUAUUUACUCGACAAAAGUACUUUUACAAGCCAAUAAACUGACGAGCCCCCUCUGCUCUGCUCUGCUUUCUACACAAAAAAGUAGUAACUACUACUACUACUAGAUGACCUGGUGUGGCCACUGGCACAAGUACUUGAGAAGAUCGUUUUCGUUCAUUAUUAGUUCUAUCUUUCCUAUAUGUCCAGGUAUUGAAAAUUUUAUCUGCCUCAGGCAAGUAACCGCAGCUACUUGGUUACCUUAUUCCUAUGAAAUGCACACAAUCGGACAUGCUCACGAUGUUCUUUUGCCCUGUCAUAUUCACAAAACCUGACAAGCUCACACUGUUCUGGGUGAUGGUAAUAUUGCCAUGGGCAAUCUUCCAAGAUUGUAUAUGUUCUACAUUUCUAGAUCACCUUGCACCAUGGGCAACACCUGCGUUUCUGGUUCGGGAUGUAUGUGUAUAUUUAUGCGUGUAAUUCAUAAUAAUCUUUGCCAAUUUGUCAUUUCCAAAUUGUGUGUCAGUGAUGCACGGGCAAAGGGUACUGAAGAUCGAGACCAAGCGGCAACAGGUUCAGAUACUGUUCACCAUCCGGCAAGCGAGGAAGCAACGACAAGAACCAAGGCUUCGAGUGGGCCUGCGGCGCUGCCCACUCGAACCACGACGAAGCCCAGAUGGAACGACGGCCCAGAAUGGACUCGGUAGUUAAAUACAUCUCUGUAACGUUCGAAUGGACUUGGCUUGGACUUGGACGGCGGCUCCGGCCGAUUGUAAUCCAGCUGUAGCAGCGAGGGAGGUUGGGAGGAAAUAUACGCUACCGAAU
RNAcentral lists this ribosomal RNA (4185 nucleotides) under Triticum aestivum (bread wheat). Its description in RNAcentral is "partial small subunit ribosomal RNA". Lineage: Eukaryota; Viridiplantae; Streptophyta; Magnoliopsida; Poales; Poaceae. The record is from RNAcentral.